Molecule: long non-coding RNA, 706 nt
Organism: Aphidius gifuensis
Lineage: Eukaryota; Metazoa; Arthropoda; Insecta; Hymenoptera; Braconidae
Exons: 3
Source: RefSeq, a predicted model, not a curated record
CAGUAGUCCGCCGUCAAAGAAAGCCCCUAUUAAUCGAUGGAAGCAACGUAGACUGUUUUUAUACAUUAUCUUGUAAAAAGAAAAAAGUUAGAGUGUUGUGCCCUAGUGUAUAAGGCAAUGGAAAAUCAUAUAAAUAAACAGAUAAAAUAAUAAAAAAAGCAAUAUUGUGCCCGAGGCUUAUACUAAAACAGUGAGAAUAAAUAAAUUUCGCUUGGGUAAAUUUGUGGUUGAGGAAAUAAUGGCAGCAGCCGACUCAUCAACCAACGACAGCCUUUAUCCAAUUGCAGUUUUGAUAGAUGAAUCAUAGAAUGAAAAUUUACUACUGCGAAUUAAUUCAAUCGAAAAACUUUCAACGAUUGCCUUGGCACUUGGUGCUGAACGUACUCGUAAUGAGUUGAUGCCUUUUUUGACGUGGACAAUGUAUGAUGGAGAUGAAGUUUAAUUGGCACUCGCUGAACAACUUGUAACAUUCACACCACUGGUAGGUGGACUUGAUCAUGUUUAUUGUUUAUUGCCACCACUUGAAGCAUUGGCAGCUGUUGAAGAAACAGUUGUACGUGACAAAGCAGUUGAAUUGUCGCGUAAUAUUGCAAGUCAACACAGUCCAGCAUAUCUUGAAGAUCAUUUUGUUCCAUUGGUAUACAACGUUUGGCAUCUGGUGAUUAAUUUACGUCAAGAACAUCAGCAUGUGGUUUAAAAAGUUUAU